UACAGACCAAGUUGUUAAGAGCUAUUGGCGGAUGCCUUGGCAUUGACAGGCGAUGAAGGAUGCGUUUACCUGCAGUAAUCUUCGGUGAGCUGGUAUAGAGCUAUGACCCGGAGGUAUCCGAAUGGGGCAACCCGAUAGACUAAUAGUCCAUCAUUAUAUGUUGAAUACAUAGGCAUAUAAGGCGACACCCGCUGAACUGAAACAUCUUAGUAAGCGGAGGAAAAGAAAUCAAAGAGAUUCCCUGUGUAGCGGCGAGCGAAAGGGGAACAGCCUAAACCAUAUUUUUAAUAUGGGGUUGUAGGGUCGAUAACAUGGGAUCUUAAGUUUUAGUUGAAUACUUCUGGAAAGUUGAACGAUACAGGGUGAUAGUCCCGUUAACGAAAAAACAAAAGACGCUAAUCGAUACCUGAGUAGGGCUAGACACGUGAAACCUAGUCUGAAUCUGGGGAGACCACUCUCCAAGGCUAAAUACUAGUCAAUGACCUAUAGUGAACCAGUACUGUGAAGGAAAGGUGAAAAGAACCCUUGUUAAGGGAGCGAAAUAGAACCUGAAACCAGUAGCUUAUAAGCGGUCGGAGACCUAUAACUCUUCGGAGUAAUGGUUGACGGCGUGCCUUUUGCAUGAUGAGCCAGGGAGUUAAGUUAAACGGCGGGAUUAAGGGAUUUACAUUCCGGAGUCGAAGCGAAAGCGAGUUUUAAAAGAGCGUUUUAGUCGUUUGAUUUAGACACGAAACCAAGUGAGCUAUUUAUGACCAGGUUGAAGCAUUGGUAAGACUUUGUGGAGGACCGAACCAGUACAUGUUGAAAAAUGUUUGGAUGAGUUGUGAAUAGGGGUGAAAG
This 840-nucleotide ribosomal RNA is filed under the name Chlamydia pneumoniae. Its description in RNAcentral is "bacterial LSU rRNA". It matches the Rfam family "Bacterial large subunit ribosomal RNA", at positions 1 to 827 of the family's 2925-position model. Lineage: Bacteria; Pseudomonadati; Chlamydiota; Chlamydiia; Chlamydiales; Chlamydiaceae. The record is from RNAcentral.